This 253-nucleotide ribosomal RNA is filed under the name uncultured bacterium. Its description in RNAcentral is "partial 16S ribosomal RNA". It matches the Rfam family "Bacterial small subunit ribosomal RNA", at positions 524 to 776 of the family's 1533-position model. The record is from RNAcentral.
UACGAAGGGGGCUAGCGUUGUUCGGAAUUACUGGGCGUAAAGCGCGUGUAGGCGGGUCUUUAAGUCAGGGGGGAAAUGCCAAGGCUCAACCUUGGAACUGCCUUUGAUACUGGAGACCUUGAGUCCGGGAGAGGUGAGUGGAAUUGCGAGUGUAGAGGUGAAAUUCGUAGAUAUUCGCAAGAACACCAGUGGCGAAGGCGGCUCACUGGCCCGGAACUGACGCUGAGAUGCGAAAGCGUGGGGAGCAAACAGG